UUUUUUUAUUAUUGUUUUAGUAAACUUCAAAUAUCAUCUCUGUAAUUUUAUACUUUCUCAUUUUAGUACCUUAUGACUUAAAAUAUAUCAAUUUAGUACACUAUGGUUUUUAUUUUUUUCUUUUUGUCAGCUCUUUAGUUAAUAUUUUAUUAAAUUAUAUACAAAAAACAUCAGAUACUCCAUCUAGGUUUAUCGAAUAUUCACUUUAAUAUUUUUUAGUUUUAACUUUUUUACUGAUUUAAUGAAAAAAAUUAGUAAAGAGUAUAAUAAAAAGAGAAAAAUGAAACCACGGAAUACUAAAUUGAUACAUUUUAAAUCAUAGGGUACUAAAAUAAAAAAUAUAUAUAUAAAACUAUAGGAGUGGUAUUUGAAAUUUUUCCAUAUUUUUAU
RNAcentral lists this long non-coding RNA (390 nucleotides) under Ananas comosus (pineapple). Its description in RNAcentral is "long non-coding RNA (ACOM_LNC020266)". The record is from RNAcentral. Lineage: Eukaryota; Viridiplantae; Streptophyta; Magnoliopsida; Poales; Bromeliaceae.